UACGUAGGGCGCAAGCGUUGUCCGGAAUUAUUGGGCGUAAAGAGCUCGUAGGCGGCCUGUUACGUCUGCUGUGAAAUCCCGGGGCUUAACCCCGGGCGUGCAGUGGAUACGGGCAGGCUGGAGGCAGGCAGGGGAGAACGGAAUUCCCGGUGUAGCGGUGAAAUGCGCAGAUAUCGGGAGGAACACCGGUGGCGAAGGCGGUUCUCUGGGCCUGUACUGACGCUGAGGAGCGAAAGCGUGGGAGCGAACAGG
This 252-nucleotide ribosomal RNA is filed under the name uncultured bacterium. RNAcentral describes it as "partial 16S ribosomal RNA". It matches the Rfam family "Bacterial small subunit ribosomal RNA", at positions 524 to 776 of the family's 1533-position model. The record is from RNAcentral.